CCUACGGGUGGCAGCAGUGGGGAAUUUUGCGCAAUGGGGGAAACCCUGACGCAGCAACGCCGCGUGGAGGAUGAAGUCCCUUGGGACGUAAACUCCUUUCGAUCGGGACAAUUAUGACGGUACCGGAAGAAGAAGCCCCGACUAACUUCGUGCCAGCAGCCGCGGUAAUACGAGGGGGGCAAGCGUUGUUCGGAAUUAUUGGGCGUAAAGGGCGCGUAGGCGGUCGGACAUGUCUUGUGUGGAAUCUUCGGGCUCAACUCGAAGUCUGCACAGGAAACUAUCUGGCUUGAGUGUGGGAGAGGUGAGUGGAAUUCCUGGUGUAGCGGUGAAAUGCGUAGAUAUCAGGAGGAACACCUGUGGCGAAAGCGGCUCACUGGACCACAACUGACGCUGAGGCGCGAAAGCUAGGGGAGCAAACAGGAUUAGAUACCCCAGUAGUC
Molecule: unclassified non-coding RNA, 440 nt
Filed under: uncultured fungus
Lineage: Eukaryota; Fungi
Description: partial internal transcribed spacer 1
Rfam family: Bacterial small subunit ribosomal RNA
Source: RNAcentral